Molecule: ribosomal RNA, 253 nt
Filed under: uncultured bacterium
Lineage: Bacteria
Description: partial 16S ribosomal RNA
Rfam family: Bacterial small subunit ribosomal RNA
Source: RNAcentral
GACGAACGGUGCGAACGUUGUUCGGAAUCACUGGGCUUAAAGGGCGUGUAGGCGGCUGUUCAAGUCCGGGGUGAAAUCCUCCAGCUUAACUGGAGAGGUGCCUUGGAUACUGAUUUGCUCGAGGGAGGUAGGGGUCGAGGGAACUUCUGGUGGAGCGGUGAAAUGCGUUGAUAUCAGAAGGAACGCCGGUGGCGAAAACGCUCGACUGGAUCGCUUCUGACGCUGAGGCGCGAAAGCUAGGGGAGCAAACGGG